UUGAAGAUAAGAAGGCAGGCAGGAGAGAGAACUCCUAGACCUCUGUGGGUCUCACUUCCUUGAGUCUGGACUCUAACAGGAGUUUAAGAAGGGCCUGAAGAAACUUCUAGAGAGAGGAAAAUACCCUCUGCACACAGAACUAGCAGAGAGGCAUCCUCAAGCUAAAAUCUAUGAGGAAGUCCUACAGAGUGGGGCAGAUCACUUGGUUUCAGGUGAUUCCUUCAGUUUGUUUACCCCAGAUCUUCAUCCUGUCUUGUUUAGAGGUUUCUGACUGGUCGUAGCUGUGCUGGGGGGAGAAGUAUGGUCUGACCUGAUCCGGACUGAGGUGCUGAAGAGGACAGAGCACCCCUGAGGCCGAGUGGGAGUGGCACCCUCGAAGGAGAGCAACCGCAGCGGGGAGUCGGCGUCCAGGGGAGGCCAGAGGGCUAGCCUGUUGGAGGAUGUGAGAGACAUGGGGAGGAGAGCAGAGUCAUCCUGGAUGAGGCCAUCCUACUAGCCAGCCCCCAGCCAUCCUGCCAGCUGACCACAAGUGUGUGAACAAGCCCAGGUCUUAUUUGGCGUGAGAACUUAGUUGCCCCGUGGCAUGUGGAAUCUUAGUUCCCCG
This is a non-coding RNA of Delphinapterus leucas (beluga whale), 604 nucleotides long. The record is from RefSeq and is a predicted model, not a curated record. Lineage: Eukaryota; Metazoa; Chordata; Mammalia; Artiodactyla; Monodontidae.